GGACGAUGUCCGUAGUCUUUCGGAACACCGGAUGUUACUCGAAAUACAUCUGUUCUUUCUAUGGCCACCUUUAAUAUACAUGUGCAAUAGCUAAUUAAUUGACCUGUUGCAUAAGCAUUAACAUCUUAAAGUUGAUAUAGAGAUAUUAUGUCACAUAUGAUGCGAAAUUUAUAAUGUAGCAAGCUACUUUAAUGAGCAUUUGAAUACUUCCUUGCUCGCAAUUACAAGCUGCUGAUAUUUACCUUACAUAUAUGCGUAGUUAUUUUAAUUGGAGUCAAACGUUGAAACCAGCUGUGUUAAGAUAUGAGAUAAGAUUUCAUGUAAAUAAUGCGAUUUAUAUUCGGAAACGAGAUUUGUCAAAACUAAAAUCUAUAACAGUAGUAUUACUAGCUUUUUUAUUUAGAUUACGAGUCUAGGGAAGAUGUACAUGAUGUACAAAGCAGGCUAUUUUUUUUUUCUCAUACUGAAAUUAAAAGGAAGUCUUUCUUUCUACCUCAGGAAUAGAUUAUCUUAGCUGUAUUUGGCAAAACUUUUAGGAAUUGCACAUGUUGGCCCUCAAUGCUCUUCAACUUCGUACUCUAUUUGGCGCCUUUUUAACAAUUUUCAAUUCGCGCGUCACUGAUGAGUCUUUUAUGGACAAAACGUGCGUCUGGCUUGAAUAUAAAAUAACAAUCCUGGUAUCUAUGAUGAGUUUAUUUGCACUUUAUAAAAAUUUCACGUCUAGGAUAGACCAAGGACGUAUAUAAUCUA
This 750-nucleotide long non-coding RNA is filed under the name Mytilus galloprovincialis (Mediterranean mussel). Lineage: Eukaryota; Metazoa; Mollusca; Bivalvia; Mytilida; Mytilidae. The record is from RNAcentral.